This 27-nucleotide small RNA is filed under the name Bombyx mori (domestic silkworm). RNAcentral describes it as "ovarian small RNA-36871". The record is from RNAcentral. Lineage: Eukaryota; Metazoa; Arthropoda; Insecta; Lepidoptera; Bombycidae.
UUAUGGUAGCACCUGAGUUGGUGGAAA